Long non-coding RNA from Peromyscus leucopus (white-footed mouse), 1044 nucleotides. RefSeq lists it as uncharacterized. The transcript is spliced from 3 exons. The record is from RefSeq and is a predicted model, not a curated record. NCBI's taxonomy places the organism in Eukaryota, Metazoa, Chordata, Mammalia, Rodentia, Cricetidae.
CUGUUCUCAAAAGGAAGUGUCCCGGCUUCCUCCUGUGAGGGCAGGAGCCAGCUGACCACCGCCUUCAGGGACUGGAAGUUCUUCCUAACAGCUGGCUUAAGUCCUUCUGAUGACAUCCAUUAGACCCACGGGAACACAGGCCUGCGACAGUCUUUCUGCUCUCGAAUCUACUCCCAAGAGAUGAGCACCAGAACAUAACGCACCCCACACUGGACCCGAGGCCCAUCAGAAAUGGAGCAUGGUGGCCCUGGAGGGUAAGAAUGGCCUGAUGCACCCGUUGGAGAUGCUGGAUGAACUGAGAGGAAACCGACGGUAAAUAGCAGGGAAGGGGUCAGUCCUGAGUAUCGGCACCUAAGGAUUUUACAGAUUUUCAAUCAUACCCAAUCUGCUUACAAAUCUGGAGGUAAGAUUUCUACCUUAGCAAAAGUUUUAGAGAGUUAAAGCAAAGCCAAAGGUGUAAGAGAUGAGAGCAAUGGUCCCCGGGGGACCGGUCUGUCCCUUUGUUUUGUUUUGCUCUCCUCUCUGUCACACAGCAGGUGGCUCUCCUGAUGUGGGACAGAGGUUUUGGAAGAAACCUUUAACAGGCAUGCUUGGGUCUAGAGGAGGGGGAGCCACACCCUAACUCUAGAGUCAGAUUUUAGUGCAAAUGGAACAGCACAAAACAGCAGUCUAAUGCCACUCAUCCCUAAAAGACACCUGAGUCCCUGUAAAACAGAAUCCAGUAAACUGAGAACAAAGAAGGCUUGGAGAUAGGUGAUUUCUGAGCUCUGGCUAUAGACAGAGGAUGCUGCAGGAGGGAGCUGAAGCCCCAGGCAGUGUGUGCGGGGUGUGUGCGGGUGUGUGCGGGGUGUGUGCGGGUGUGUGCAGCGUGUAUGCACAUUGCAGCUGGCCUACUCCUUUGCUUUCUCCCCCUCAUGCUAGGUCUGGUUCCUGGCUCCCACUCUGCGACAAACUUACAGAUCCUUCUAUGGUAACCUAAAAGUCAGGGCACUGCCGGGCAGUGGUAGUAAUGCACCCCUUUAUCCCAGCACUUGGGAGGCAGAG